UACGUAGGGUGCAAGCGUUAAUCGGAAUUACUGGGCGUAAAGCGUGCGCAGGCGGUUUUGUAAGUCAGAUGUGAAAUCCCCGGGCUUAACCUGGGAACUGCGUUUGAAACUACAAGGCUAGAGUGUGGCAGAGGGGGGUGGAAUUCCACGUGUAGCAGUGAAAUGCGUAGAGAUGUGGAGGAACACCGAUGGCGAAGGCAGCCCCCUGGGCCGACCCUGACGCUGAGGCGCGAAGGCCGGGGGAGCGAACGGG
RNAcentral lists this ribosomal RNA (253 nucleotides) under uncultured bacterium. RNAcentral's name for it is "partial 16S ribosomal RNA". It matches the Rfam family "Bacterial small subunit ribosomal RNA", at positions 524 to 776 of the family's 1533-position model. The record is from RNAcentral.